RNAcentral lists this microRNA precursor (104 nucleotides) under Pelobates cultripes (western spadefoot toad). The record is from RNAcentral. Lineage: Eukaryota; Metazoa; Chordata; Amphibia; Anura; Pelobatidae.
CCAGUCCUCAUGGACCACCAACAGUCCAGGUUUUGCCAGUAUAUCCAUUAGAAUAAAAAAGUGAAAUACAUAAAUCCUGGACUGUUGGUGGUCCAUGAGGACUG